This 458-nucleotide ribosomal RNA is filed under the name uncultured bacterium. RNAcentral's name for it is "partial 16S ribosomal RNA". It matches the Rfam family "Bacterial small subunit ribosomal RNA", at positions 338 to 795 of the family's 1533-position model. The record is from RNAcentral.
CCUACGGGAGGCAGCAGUGGGGAAUAUUGCACAAUGGGGGAAACCCUGAUGCAGCGACGCCGCGUGAGUGAAGAAGUAAUUCGUUACGUAAAGCCCUAUCAGCAGGGAAGAAACACUGACCUUACGGUCAGCAGACGGUACCUGAGUAAGAAGCCCCGGCUAACUACGUGCCAGCAGCCGCGGUAAUACGUAGGGGGCAAGCGUUAUCCGGAUUUGCUGGGUGUAAAGGGAGCGUAGACGGUGCGCCAAGUAUGGAGUGAAAUGCCGCAGCUUAACUGCGGAACUGCUGUGGAAACUGGCGAACUAGAGUGCGGGAGGGGUAAGCGGAAUGCGUGGUGUAGCGGUGAAAUGCGUAGAUAUUAGGAAGAACACCGGUGGCGAAGGCGGCUUACUGGACCGUAACUGACGUUGAGGCUCGAAAGCGUGGGGAGCGAACAGGAUUAGAUACCCGAGUAGUC